ACGAGUAUAGUUAAGUGGUUAUAAUUCCUACCUUCCAAGUAGGAGUCAUCAGUUCGACUCUGAUUACUCGUA
This 72-nucleotide transfer RNA is filed under the name Amanita brunnescens. RNAcentral describes it as "tRNA-Gly". It matches the Rfam family "tRNA". Rfam says of the family: Transfer RNA (tRNA) molecules are approximately 80 nucleotides in length. Their secondary structure includes four short double-helical elements and three loops (D, anti-codon, and T loops). Lineage: Eukaryota; Fungi; Basidiomycota; Agaricomycetes; Agaricales; Amanitaceae. RNAcentral also lists the same sequence under 6 other names. The record is from RNAcentral.